Molecule: ribosomal RNA, 373 nt
Filed under: uncultured organism
Description: bacterial SSU rRNA
Rfam family: Bacterial small subunit ribosomal RNA
Source: RNAcentral
CGGGGGAGCAAGCGUUGUUCGGAUUUACUGGGCGUAAAGGGCGCGUAGGCGGCCACCGCAAGUCGACUGUGAAAUCUCCGGGCUUAACCCGGAAAGGUCAGCCGAUACUGCGGGGCUAGAGUGCAGAAGGGGCAACUGGAAUUCUCGGUGUAGCGGUGAAAUGCGUAGAUAUCGAGAGGAACACCUGCGGCGAAGGCGGGUUGCUGGGCUGAUACUGACGCUGAGGCGCGAAAGCUAGGGGAGCGAACGGGAUUAGAUACCCCGGUAGUCCUAGCCUUAAACGAUGAAUGCUUGGUGUCUGGGGUUUUAUAGUCCCCGGGUGCCGUCGCUAACGCUUUAAGCAUUCCGCCUGGGGAGUACGGUCUCAAGACUG